AAAAACAUAGAUAACAAAGGUAUAAGACUAAAAAUAGAAAAAGUAAAAAGAGAGAGAUGACAUACAAAUGCCGAUAUAUUCUCGAGCGUGCCUCUAUGUUCAUCGCCCAUAGUCAACAAAGACAUGAUUUGAUUUUGCAAAGCUUGAGUGUGGUAGAGGAAACAAGUGUGGUAGAAGAAUAUAAUGAGUAUUGAUGAAGAUAUUUGAUAUUGUUGAUAUGAGAGGCUAUUUAUAGAUGAAUGAGUGAGUAGGUUUGCAAC
This 260-nucleotide long non-coding RNA is filed under the name Lathyrus oleraceus (garden pea). RNAcentral's name for it is "Pisum sativum (pea) long non-coding RNA (PSAT_LNC040018)". The record is from RNAcentral. Lineage: Eukaryota; Viridiplantae; Streptophyta; Magnoliopsida; Fabales; Fabaceae.